GGAUGUGAGGGCAAUCUGGCUGUGACAUCUGUCACUCCAUUGAUCACCAGGGUUGAUUCAGCUGAUCUGGCUGGCUAGGCUGGUGUCCCCUUCCUUCCUCACCGCUCCAUGUUGCGUCCCUGCCGAAGCUGCGCCCUGGGUCAAAGAGGAUGACCAUCCCCGAUAGAGGAGGACCGUUCUUCAGUCAAGGGUAUACGGGUAGCUGCGCUCCCCUGCUAGAACCUCCAAACAAGCUCUCAAGAAGGAGAGGAGAGGUAUGAGCAGGUUCAUGCCAACUUUCACCUCAUAAGAAUAGGUAACUUUA
This 304-nucleotide small nuclear RNA is filed under the name Castor canadensis (American beaver). RNAcentral describes it as "7SK RNA (ENSCCNG00000006594.1)". It matches the Rfam family "7SK RNA". From Rfam's summary of the family: 7SK was discovered as an abundant small nuclear RNA in the mid-70s but a possible function has only recently been suggested. Two independent studies have found that 7SK RNA binds the CDK9/cyclin T complex (known as elongation factor P-TEFb). P-TEFb activates transcription by phosphorylating the C-terminal domain of RNA polymerase II. The record is from Rfam by way of RNAcentral. Lineage: Eukaryota; Metazoa; Chordata; Mammalia; Rodentia; Castoridae.